AGUCCCGGCUAGGGACACAGCUCUUAGACUUUGAGCUAGACAACCAGGAGGACAGGAGGACCUAGUAUCCUGCCUCCAUCAGCCCAUCAUUUAUGCAAAUGCUACUUAGUUGCCGUCUAGAUGCAGGAUGCUGUCUGCCCUGUUAAAUGCUGUGUGAACCCAGAUGGAAGCUGAGCAGACAUCACACUCGUGAGCAGCUCCCCUUCCUGUUUCAGGCUGGCCUUGAACUUACAGGGAUUCACCUGCCUCUGCCUCCCAGAUGCUGAGAUUAAAGGCAUGUGCCAUCACCACCUGAACAACAGCAGCUUUCUAAGGAACCAGUAAGGCACUACAGACUUUUCAUAUAACAUCACCUUCAUUCUCUCACAACUAAUUCUACAAAACAGAUGUUAUACGACCUCGUUCGCUGAAGUCAAAGAUGCAGAGGGGCCAAGGUGUGGGCUCCGGACCUCACACCAGUGUGGCAGAUUCAACAAGCCCAGAAUAAGCCUCUUCCUUUGCUCACAAUAAGAUUAAGCCAACUGCCUCUUCAUUCCUCAGUCACACUCCUCCUCUGACCCUGCUCCAGGAGGCUCAUCUUGUCAGACUUCACACUGAAUGAGCGCUGAGGAUGCUGUAGAGUAUGAGCUGUGUGCAGGUUUCAAAAGCAAUUUGUGCCCCUGAAACAAGCCAACCAGCAGAGAAGGAACAAAAGAAACAUGGUGUCUUCUACCUCCAGCCUUGAAGCUUCCAGACCUCCCUACACGAACCCCCCCCCCACACCCACUCCCCGAAAUGAUGUCCCAGUGAAGAGCCAGGCUCUUAUCCUUCCAUCCAUGCCUCUCAGGCGUCUGCUUCAUUUAGCAUGUAUGUGCAUUUUACCAGGUUAAUGCAACACAGACUAUUUCCUAGUAGCUGUGAAGCCCAGUGUAGCCUCUGCUGCCGGACACAUGGUUUGUCUCCAGUCUUUCCCUUCCCAGCAAAGCAGCCUUGACUCAUCUCCUUUCUCUAUGACAGAGCCCUUUAGAAUGUACUCACUGGGCCAACGAUGCAGUUUCAAUUUGGGUUUUUAAUGGAAGUGGGUGGCUAGGUAAGUGGGUUGAAUGACUGACUGAUUCUGAAUAGCUCUGAAUUUAUUGAGCUGCUUCCAGGAAGGUCCAGGUGACCUGGGUAGCAGAAAGGACACCCAUUCCUGUUUGAUGGUGUUUUUUUUCUAUCUAUCAUCCUUCCUGUCUUUCCUUCUUUAUUUCUUUCUGGGUGAGACAGGGUCUUAUAAUACAGUUUCAGCCAGCCUGGAACUCAUUAUGUAAACCAGGCUGGUCUCCAGCUCAUGGAGAUGAGCCUGCCUUUGCUUCCCAUGUACUGAAAUUAAAGCCCAGCUUGUUUUUUUCUCUUUACCACACUGGGGAUUCAACCCAAGGCUAGUAAGCACCCUGGCACUGAGUAUAUUCUGGACCUCUUCUUAUUUUAAUGUUGAUGUAGGGUCCUGCUAAGUUUCCCAGACUGACCUUCAACUCACUAUGCAAGUCCAGGCAGGCCUUGAACUCACGAUCCUCCUGGUUCAGCUUCCUGAGCUGAUGAGUGGCAGGCACCAUUAGUCUCAUUCGGAAGGAUGUGCUUCAUCCUUGGUGAAAGCGCUCAUCUCUUGUCUUGGCUGGCUAGAAUUUCCAGGGUGAAGAAAGGAGGAUUAGAAAAGUUCAAGGUCACCCUCCCCUACAUAGAGAGUUCAAGGCCAGGCUGGGCCACAUGAGAAAAACCAAAAGAACAGAUGGUGUUAGCAGGAGGUAGGGAAGGAGUAGGGAGGUCCAGCCCUGGGUGGGGCAGAGCCCCUGCUAAAGACAAGGGACAUUCCUUAGUGUCAACUUUCCCUUAGGAUGGAGAGGAGGGGUUGCUAGCUCGUCACACCCCACAGCCCUGGAGGACAGGAGCUUACUGUUGAGUUAGUGGGGCAGAGUCGGGGAGAGGCUGUCAUUUCGGCAGCCCUGGUACAUGGAGCCACUAGCAGGCUUCUUCGUCUCAUGUCUUCAUCCGCACCACCUCCUAGCAGCCUGCCCUCCCCAACUUGUCCACUUAAAGCCUGGGCCAGUGAGAUGACUCUGCAGAUAAAGGUAUUGUCACCCAGCCUGAGGACCUGAGUUCAAUUUCUGGGUUCCAUAUGAUGGAAGGAGAGAACUGAGUCCCUUAACUUGAUCUCUAACCUGCACAUGUGGAUUGUGAAUGGGCUUAUGUGCCCACACACCCUCUCUCUCACACAAUAAACAUAAGUAAUAAAUGUAUACAUGCAUAUACACAUACAUAAUACACACAUACAUACAUGCUUGAAUGCAUACAUACGUUCGUAUGUAUGUCCUUGCCACUCUCUUGGAACCUGACUCCUACAGAAUGUAACCUUGAUUUGUGCUCCAGGCUCACUUGACACCUGGCUUCUGUGGCUUGUUCGAGUCCUCUGUCUCCCAGACAAUGAGCUAGGAUUCUGGUCAUUCAGGUUCAGCCUGGGUGCAGAGAGUUUUGAGUGGGCCUGUCCACUGGAGACCACUCCUCUCGUCACCCAUGAAGCAUCUAAAGUUAAGUAUGAUGGUGCAGACCUGGAAUCCCAGAAUUCAGGAGGUGGGGGCAGGGAUUUCUAAACUCAGAAGUCAGCCUGAGCUAUCUAGAGAGAUGCUGUUUCAAAAAUUUAAAACAGCCGGGUGUGGUGGCACACGCCUUUAAUCCCAGCACUCGGGAGGCAGAGGUAGGCGGAUUUCUGAGUUCGAGGCCAGCCUGGUCUACAAAGUGAGUUCCAGGACAGCCAGGGAUAUACAGAGAAACCCUGUCUCGAAAAACCAAAAAUAAAAAAUAAAUAAAACAAAACCGAA
Molecule: long non-coding RNA, 2834 nt
Filed under: Mus musculus (house mouse)
Lineage: Eukaryota; Metazoa; Chordata; Mammalia; Rodentia; Muridae
Description: predicted gene, 32817, transcript variant 17 (Gm32817)
Source: RNAcentral